ACUAUUUUGGCAGAAUAGUGCACUAAAUUUAGAAUUUAGACAAGUGAUUAAUUAUCAUAUAUAGUA
Molecule: transfer RNA, 66 nt
Filed under: Tettigotoma maculata
Lineage: Eukaryota; Metazoa; Arthropoda; Insecta; Hemiptera; Cicadidae
Description: tRNA-Leu
Source: RNAcentral